AGUAAGUAUGGAAAGAAGGAAGAGGGAGAGACCGAAUAAUGCACAGAAAUUUACCACUAUAAUUCAUUCCAUCGUUCACGCACGUUUUAUAUUCAAAUGUCACACCCUCCACCUUCAUUUUAUUUAUUCAUUUAUUCAUUUAUUUACAACUCUACUUCUGGAGGAAAAACGAAUCUACAACAAAUACACACAAGGCGGUCGUGCCCAGUCGUACGUACGUGGUCGUCGCACAUAGGUGGUCGUUGUAUGUAGAUGGUCAUCGUACAUAGGUGGUCGUCGCACAUAGGUGGUCGUCGUACAUAGGUGGUCGUCGUACAUAGGUGGUCGUCGCACAUAGGUGGUCGUCGUACAUAGGUGGUCGUCGCACAUAGGUGGUCGUCGCACAUAGGUGGUCGUCGCACAUAGGUGGUCGUCGUAUUUAGAUGGUCGUCGUAUUUAGGUGGUCGUCGCACAUAGGUGGUCGUCGUACAUAGGUGGUCGUCGUACAUAGGUGGUCGUCGUACAUAGAUGGUCAUCGUACAUAGGUGGUCGUCGUACAUAGGUGGUCGUCGUACAUAGAUGGUCGUCGUACAUAGGUGGUCGUCGCACAUAGGUGGUCGUCGUACAUAGGUGGUCGUCGCACAUAGGUGGUCGUCGCACAUAGGUGGUCGUCGCACAGAGGUGGUCGUCGUACAUAGGUGGUCGUCGUAUUUAGGUGAUCACUCAGUCGUUCUCAAGGUGAAGGUCGUGACACGGAAGAUGUAUUUGCUUCACUUGAAAGGAAUGUUGUUGAAUUAUAGACAUUGGCCGUGAAGACCGACGGGCGAAUCAUAGAAUACAGUCAAUAAAAGUAAAGAGGGAAAUGCAAUGAUACAGUUGAUAGAAUAGAAGGAUUAAUAAAAUGCGUCUGUAAUGAUAUAUAU
This 902-nucleotide long non-coding RNA is filed under the name Penaeus japonicus. Its description in RNAcentral is "uncharacterized LOC122245580". Lineage: Eukaryota; Metazoa; Arthropoda; Malacostraca; Decapoda; Penaeidae. The record is from RNAcentral.